RNAcentral lists this ribosomal RNA (322 nucleotides) under Bacillus thuringiensis serovar darmstadiensis. Its description in RNAcentral is "bacterial SSU rRNA". It matches the Rfam family "Bacterial small subunit ribosomal RNA", at positions 1 to 310 of the family's 1533-position model. The record is from RNAcentral. Lineage: Bacteria; Bacillati; Bacillota; Bacilli; Caryophanales; Bacillaceae.
UUUAUUGGAGAGUUUGAUCCUGGCUCAGGAUGAACGCUGGCGGCGUGCCUAAUACAUGCAAGUCGAGCGAAUGGAUUAAGAGCUUGCUCUUAUGAAGUUAGCGGCGGACGGGUGAGUAACACGUGGGUAACCUGCCCAUAAGACUGGGAUAACUCCGGGAAACCGAGGCUAAUACCGGAUAACAUUUUGAACUGCAUGGUUCGAAAUUGAAAGGCGGCUUCGGCUGUCACUUAUGGAUGGACCCGCGUCGCAUUAGCUAGUUGGUGAGGUAACGGCUCACCAAGGCAACGAUGCGUAGCCGACCUGAGAGGGUGAUCGGCCA